Molecule: non-coding RNA, 131 nt
Organism: Aspergillus brasiliensis CBS 101740
Lineage: Eukaryota; Fungi; Ascomycota; Eurotiomycetes; Eurotiales; Aspergillaceae
Source: the annotation of a GenBank genome assembly
GUCUCGGUGGCGCAAUUGGUAAGCGUUGACCCUCGCCGCAUUCCCAAUGAAUUGGUUACUAAUAAUCACCUGAAGGUUAGCGCGUACGACUGUUAAUCGUGAGGUUGAGAGUUCGAUCCUCUCCCGGGACG